RNAcentral lists this ribosomal RNA (656 nucleotides) under uncultured bacterium. Its description in RNAcentral is "bacterial SSU rRNA". It matches the Rfam family "Bacterial small subunit ribosomal RNA", at positions 380 to 1030 of the family's 1533-position model. The record is from RNAcentral.
AAGCUGAUCCAUUAAUACCGCGNUGUGUGAAGAAGGCCUGAGGGUUGUAAAGCACUUUCAAUAGGAAGGAAUACCUAUCGGUUAAUACCCGGUAGACUGACAUUACCUAUACAAGAAGCACCGGCUAACUCCGUGCCAGCAGCCGCGGUAAUACGGAGGGUGCAAGCGUUAAUCGGAAUUACUGGGCGUAAAGCGUGCGUAGGCGGUUAUUUAAGUCAGAUGUGAAAGCCCUGGGCUUAACCUGGGAACUGCAUUUGAUACUGGAUGACUAGAGUUGAGUAGAGGAGAGUGGAAUUUCAGGUGUAGCGGUGAAAUGCGUAGAGAUCUGAAGGAACACCAGUGGCGAAGGCGGCUCUCUGGACUCAAACUGACGCUGAGGUACGAAAGCGUGGGUAGCAAACAGGAUUAGAUACCCUGGUAGUCCACGCCGUAAACGAUGUCAACUAACCGUUGGGUUCUUUAAGAACUUAGUGGUGGAGCUAACGUAUUAAGUUGACCGCCUGGGGAGUACGGACGCAAGGCUAAAACUCAAAUGAAUUGACGGCGGCCCGCACAAGCGGUGGAGCAUGUGGUUUAAUUCGAUGCAACGCGAAGAACCUUACCUACCCUUGACAUGUGGCGAAUCCUUAGAGAUAGAGGAGUGCCUUCGGGACGUA